AAGAAGUUGUUUCUCUCUCUAUGCUCUUUGUCGCCGUCUCCAAGUCCUUUUGCAAAAUUUUCUUUUUCUUUUGCCGACGAAGCUGCAGAGAUGAAACAGGAUUCGGACCAAGCAGCAUCAACCAACAACAAUUAUUAUUUGUAUUUGGAUUGUUGGGUAAAAGCUUUGCAGAUAGCCAAACGAAUCUAUCUUUUGGCUUGGCUGAACUUAAAGAUAGCUUACGGACCUGAUUCUCAUCACGUGGAAAAGCAUACGUUUUAAGAACUCAGUUUCGGAUAUGUUGAUUUGGAGGCGAUAGCUAUACAAUAGGUCAAGAGUACAAUUAAAGACAGGUGUUGACAUUGUUGUUAGAAUCCUUGGUCGUAUGAAGGUACUUUUUUACUCCAGUGGAUGUAAAGGAAGAUAGCGGGUUAGAGUUUUGAGAAGAUGAUGUUCAACAUAAUCAUCACAUGAUGAUCUCUCUUCUGGGUUUGUAAAUUAGAAGGAUUUAUUUAUACGUGGCCAUGAGAAGCCAUCUUCUUGAGAACACACUAUGGAUCUACCAACUGAUUCGCUAGGCCAAGAUGAAAUGGGAGCUGAGUAUGUUUUUGGAAGUCAACACCAUCCACAUCUCUUAUAGUUGAUAAUAAGAGCACUGAUGGGCACUUCUUACGCAUUCAUUUCAACAUCAGAAUAGGUUGAAUAUAAUAACAAAAAGAAUUUGCAACAAUUCAUAGGCUCUAAUGAUAGUGACACGUUUGAAGCAUCUAACAAGAUGAAUGGGUAAGACCUUCUUUGGCGAUCGAUCUUCUCUUAGCCUUCUACUUUCAGAAUUGACUGCUUACUAUGUUGGUCAGUUGGUGGCAAUCGAUGAACACAGAAUUGCAGUUCAAGGCUUUGUGUGGAGUAUCAAUUCGUUUGACCAGUGGAGAGUUAAUCUAGGAACAGUUUUAUCUUCCGCUCUUCAUCUUCCUCUGAAUCUUAAAGUAGCUGCUGAAGCUGAGAAUUUACUAACAAAGUCUAUGUCCACUCUAGACACUUUUUAGCUUAAACAAUGCCAAGUUCUUGCUCGGAAACAACAAACCAAACAAUUAUAGCUGAUUUGAGCCUUUUGUGAGAAUUUUAUCAUUGUGCUUAUCAAAAGAUAAAUUAGAUUUACAUUGUCAGGCUAUGUGUUUUCGUUAUAUGCAUUUUCCUAGAUUUUGAUCUGUU
Camelina sativa (false flax) is the source of this 1191-nucleotide non-coding RNA. Lineage: Eukaryota; Viridiplantae; Streptophyta; Magnoliopsida; Brassicales; Brassicaceae. The record is from RefSeq and is a predicted model, not a curated record.